CCUGGAGACUGAAGUCCUCUGUUUGUACAGAGAACAGGUACAACAUGGGCAACAGUAGGAUAAGCCUCCUCACAUUGCUCCCAACCUGCAGGGAUCAAGUCCACAAAGUAUUUGCUAUGGAUGAAAUUUACCUCUACG
RNAcentral lists this small RNA (138 nucleotides) under Chrysemys picta bellii (western painted turtle). RNAcentral describes it as "TUC338 (ENSCPBG00000026789.1)". The record is from RNAcentral. Lineage: Eukaryota; Metazoa; Chordata; Testudines; Emydidae.